GUCGAGUAGUUUGGGAAUGCUGCUCUAAACGGGAGGUAUAUGUCUUCUAAAGCUAAAUACCGGCCAGAGACCGAUAGCGCACAAGUAGAGUGAUCGAAAGAUGAAAAGCACUUUGAAAAGAGGGUUAAACAGUACGUGAAAUUGUUGAAAGGGAAGCGCUCGCGACCAGACUUGGGCGCGGCGAAUCAUCCGGCGUUCUCGCCGGUGCGCUUCGCCGGGCCCAGGCCAGCAUCGGUUCGCCCGCGGGGGACAAAGGCCCCGGGAACGUGGCUCCCCAGGGAGUGUUAUAGCCCGCUGCGCAAUGCCCCGCGGCGGACCGAGGUUCGCGCAUUCUCCGCAAGGAUGCUGGCGUAAUGGUCAUCAGCGACCCGUCUUGAAACACGGACCAAGGAGUCGUCUUCGUAUGCGAGUGUUCGGGCGUGAAACCCCCUACGCGGAAUGAAAGUGAACGCGGGUGAGAGCCCCCCCUCCCCUCGCGGGCGGGGGGGCGCAUCAUCGACCGAUCCUGAUGUCCUCGGAUGGAUUUGAGUAGGAGCAUACGGGGCCGGACCCGAAAGAAGGUGAACUAUGCCUGUGUAGGGUGAAGCCAGAGGAAACUCUGGUGGAGGCUCGCAGCGGUUCUGACGUGCAAAUCGAUCGUCAAACAUGGGCAUGGGGGCGAAAGACUAAUCGAACCUUCUAGUAGCUGGUUUCCGCCGAAGUUUCCCUCAGGAUAGCAGUGUUGAG
RNAcentral lists this ribosomal RNA (726 nucleotides) under Tolypocladium flavonigrum. RNAcentral describes it as "partial large subunit ribosomal RNA". It matches the Rfam family "Eukaryotic large subunit ribosomal RNA", at positions 264 to 991 of the family's 3401-position model. The record is from RNAcentral. Lineage: Eukaryota; Fungi; Ascomycota; Sordariomycetes; Hypocreales; Ophiocordycipitaceae.